Molecule: non-coding RNA, 21 nt
Filed under: Arabidopsis thaliana (thale cress)
Lineage: Eukaryota; Viridiplantae; Streptophyta; Magnoliopsida; Brassicales; Brassicaceae
Source: RNAcentral
UACGGGCUUUGUAUGUACAGU